AGAGUUUGAUCCUGGCUCAGGACGAACGCUGGCGGCGUGCUUAACACAUGCAAGUCGAACGGAGCACCCCUGAAGGAGUUUUCGGACAACGGAAGGGAAUGCUUAGUGGCGGACUGGUGAGUAACGCGUGAGGAACCUGCCUUUCAGAGGGGGACAACAGUUGGAAACGACUGCUAAUACCGCAUGAUGUAUCGGAAUCGCAUGGUACUGAUACCAAAGAUUUAUCGCUGAAAGAUGGCCUCGCGUCUGAUUAGCUAGUUGGUGAGGUAACGGCCCACCAAGGCGACGAUCAGUAGCCGGACUGAGAGGUUGACCGGCCACAUUGGGACUGAGAUACGGCCCAGACUCCUACGGGAGGCAGCAGUGGGGAAUAUUGGGCAAUGGACGCAAGUCUGACCCAGCAACGCCGCGUGAAGGAAGAAGGCUUUCGGGUUGUAAACUUCUUUUAAGGGGGAAGAGCAGAAGACGGUACCCCUUGAAUAAGCCACGGCUAACUACGUG
This 501-nucleotide ribosomal RNA is filed under the name uncultured Oscillibacter sp. RNAcentral's name for it is "bacterial SSU rRNA". It matches the Rfam family "Bacterial small subunit ribosomal RNA", at positions 8 to 507 of the family's 1533-position model. The record is from RNAcentral. Lineage: Bacteria; Bacillati; Bacillota; Clostridia; Eubacteriales; Oscillospiraceae.